Non-coding RNA from Gambusia affinis (western mosquitofish), 408 nucleotides. The record is from the annotation of a RefSeq genome assembly. NCBI's taxonomy places the organism in Eukaryota, Metazoa, Chordata, Actinopteri, Cyprinodontiformes, Poeciliidae.
AGUGAACUGAGACCAGCAGAUACAGUUAAACAAGAUGGAGUAUAGGACAGGACUGCUGCUUUUAUUCAUCUGCUGUGCAGGUGUUGAUGGGCAAACUCUGACUGAAUCUGAAUCAGUGGUUAAAACACAGGGAGAUUCUCACAAACUGACUUGCACAGCCUCUGGAUUCUCAAUCAGUGGCUGGUGGAUGAACUGGAUCAGACAAGCUCCUGGAAAAGGACUGGAGUGGCUUGCAGCUCAUUAUAAUGAUCGCAGCUUAUAUUAUUCUCAGUCAGUUCAAGGCCGGUUCACCAUCUCCAGAGACGACGGCAGAAAUCAGGUGUAUCUGCAGAUGAACGGCCUGAGAACAGAAGAUUCUGCUGUUUAUUUCUGCGCUCGAGAGCCACAGUGACUGAAGUUGGUUUAGCA